CUCCCCCCCCGCCGGGUUAACCCCUUCGCGGCCCCUGCGGCGCGGCGGCUGGCUGCGGCCCCGGAGGUCCCCACCCACCCACCGCCUGCGCUCCGGGCCGGUCGGAGGACCGGCGGCCUCCAGCCGCGGGACGUCUGCGACAGAGGCCAGACUUCCUCUGGAACCAAGCACUGCUGGAGUCGCGGCGAAAGUCGAAUCACUAUAUUCAAAACGAAACCCUUCGUGGGGGGAGGGGCAUCGACGGUUUUAGCGGGUAGGGAGGAAACACCAAGAAAGAAAACCAACUAAUAAGCCUACCUGGGUUUGAGGGUCAUUGGGCGAGCUCCCC
Molecule: long non-coding RNA, 328 nt
Filed under: Rattus norvegicus (Norway rat)
Lineage: Eukaryota; Metazoa; Chordata; Mammalia; Rodentia; Muridae
Description: long non-coding RNA NONRATT014723
Source: RNAcentral